GGUGCCACCACCCACCAGCCACGGCGUUCAAGCAAGGGCCGACUGAAUUGGCUGGCUUCCGUGGUGAGCCAAUC
RNAcentral lists this transfer RNA (74 nucleotides) under Synechococcus sp. CC9902. RNAcentral describes it as "tRNA-Ile". The record is from RNAcentral. Lineage: Bacteria; Bacillati; Cyanobacteriota; Cyanophyceae; Synechococcales; Synechococcaceae.